UACGAAGGGUGCUAGCGUUGUUCGGAAUUACUGGGCGUAAAGGGCGCGUAGGCGGCUGUUUAAGUUAGGUGUGAAAGUCCUGGGCUCAACCUGGGGACUGCACUUAAUACUGGAUGGCUUGAAUUCGGGAGAGGAUAGCGGAAUUCCCAGUGUAGAGGUGAAAUUCGUAGAUAUUGGGAAGAACACCGAUGGCGAAGGCGGCUAUCUGGACCGACAUUGACGCUGAGGCGCGAAAGCGUGGGGAGCAAACAGG
Molecule: ribosomal RNA, 253 nt
Filed under: uncultured bacterium
Lineage: Bacteria
Description: partial 16S ribosomal RNA
Rfam family: Bacterial small subunit ribosomal RNA
Source: RNAcentral